UCUUGGCUGGUAAAACAGAGCAACAAGUAGUCCAUUGAAUGAAAAUUUGCAGUCAUGAUCGACUUAGAGAGAGAGAGAGAGAGAGAGAGAGAGAGAGAU
Non-coding RNA from Musa acuminata subsp. malaccensis (wild Malaysian banana), 99 nucleotides. The record is from RefSeq and is a predicted model, not a curated record. Lineage: Eukaryota; Viridiplantae; Streptophyta; Magnoliopsida; Zingiberales; Musaceae.